CUACGGGCCGCUCCAGUGAGGAAUAUUGCACAAUGGGGGAAACCCUGAUGCAGCAACGCCGCGUGGAGGAUGACGCAUUUCGGUGUGUAAACUCCUUUUAUCAGAGAAGAAAAUGACGGUAUCUGAUGAAUAAGCUCCGGCUAACUCCAUGCCAGCAGCCGCGGUAAUACGGAGGGAGCAAGCGUUAUUCGGAAUCACUGGGCGUAAAGGACGCGUAGGCGGGUUUUUAAGUCAGGUGUGAAAUCCUAUGGCUCAACCAUAGAACUGCACUUGAAACUGGGGACCUAGAGUAUGGAAGGGGCAGGUGGAAUUAGUGGUGUAGGGGUAAAAUCCGUAGAUAUCACUAGGAAUACCGAAAGCGAAGGCGACCUGCUGGGACAUUACUGACGCUGAGGCGUGAAAGCGUGGGGAGCAAACAGGAUUAGAUACCCUUGUAGUC
This 439-nucleotide ribosomal RNA is filed under the name uncultured bacterium. RNAcentral describes it as "partial 16S ribosomal RNA". It matches the Rfam family "Bacterial small subunit ribosomal RNA", at positions 339 to 795 of the family's 1533-position model. The record is from RNAcentral.